AGCGGCGAACGGGUGAGGAACACGUGAAGAAUCUGCCCUCCACUUUGGGAUAACACCGGGAAACCGGUGCUAAUACCGAAUAUUGAAACAUAAGUGGCAUCACUGAGUUUUGAAAGAAUUUCGGUGGAGGAUGACUUCGCGGCCUAUCAGCUAGUUGGUGAGGUAAUGGCUCACCAAGGCGACGACGGGUAGCCGGCCUGAGAGAACGACCAGCCACACUGGAACUGAGACACGGCCCAGACUCC
This 245-nucleotide ribosomal RNA is filed under the name uncultured bacterium. Its description in RNAcentral is "partial 16S ribosomal RNA". It matches the Rfam family "Bacterial small subunit ribosomal RNA", at positions 94 to 339 of the family's 1533-position model. The record is from RNAcentral.